GCUGGGAUAGCUCAGCUGGUAGAGCACGAGACGCUUAAUCUCAGGGUUGUGGGUUCAAGCCCCACAUCCAUGCA
Non-coding RNA from Podarcis lilfordi (Lilford's wall lizard), 74 nucleotides. The record is from the annotation of a GenBank genome assembly. NCBI's taxonomy places the organism in Eukaryota, Metazoa, Chordata, Lepidosauria, Squamata, Lacertidae.